This 46-nucleotide non-coding RNA is filed under the name Schistosoma haematobium. The record is from RNAcentral. Lineage: Eukaryota; Metazoa; Platyhelminthes; Trematoda; Strigeidida; Schistosomatidae.
GUACUUCUGAAGAGUCUCACAAUACGACGAAAUGGCCAUUCAGUAC